CUUUACACAUGCCAGUCGUUGUGAGAAAGGGCUUCGGCCCCGGUACAGCGGCGCACGGGUGAGUAACACGUAGGUAAUCUACCCCCAGGUGGUGGAUAACCUUCCGAAAGGAGGGCUAAUACAGCAUGAGACCACGACCCCGAAAGGGGAUGAGGUCAAAGCCGGCCUCUUCACGAAAGCUGGCGCCAGGGGAUGAGCCUGCGGCCCAUCAGGUAGUUGGUAGGGUAAUGGCCUACCAAGCCAAAGACGGGUAGCUGGUCUGAGAGGAUGAUCAGCCACACUGGGACUGAGACACGGCCCAGACUCCUACGGGAGGCAGCAGUGGGGAAUAUUGGACAAUGGGCGCAAGCCUGAUCCAGCCAUGCCGCGUGAGUGAUGAAGGCCCUAGGGUUGUAAAGCUCU
Molecule: ribosomal RNA, 402 nt
Filed under: uncultured Sorangium sp.
Lineage: Bacteria; Pseudomonadati; Myxococcota; Polyangiales; Polyangiaceae
Description: bacterial SSU rRNA
Rfam family: Bacterial small subunit ribosomal RNA
Source: RNAcentral